RNAcentral lists this ribosomal RNA (550 nucleotides) under uncultured bacterium. RNAcentral's name for it is "bacterial SSU rRNA". It matches the Rfam family "Bacterial small subunit ribosomal RNA", at positions 355 to 896 of the family's 1533-position model. The record is from RNAcentral.
UAGGGAAUCUUCGGCAAUGGACGGAAGUCUGACCGAGCAACGCCGCGUGAGUGAAGAAGGUUUUCGGAUCGUAAAGCUCUGUUGUAAGAGAAGAACGAGUGUGAGAGUGGAAAGUUCACACUGUGACGGUAUCUUACCAGAAAGGGACGGCUAACUACGUGCCAGCAGCCGCGGUAAUACGUAGGUCCCGAGCGUUGUCCGGAUUUAUUGGGCGUAAAGCGAGCGCAGGCGGUUAGAUAGGUCUGAAGUUAAAGGCUGUGGCUUAACCAUAGUAGGCUUUGGAAACUGUUUAACUUGAGUGCAAGAGGGGAGAGUGGAAUUCCAUGUGUAGCGGUGAAAUGCGUAGAUAUAUGGAGGAACACCGGUGGCGAAAGCGGCUCUCUGGCUUGUAACUGACGCUGAGGCUCGAAAGCGUGGGGAGCAAACAGGAUUAGAUACCCUGGUAGUCCACGCCGUAAACGAUGAGUGCUAGGUGUUAGACCCUUUCCGGGGUUUAGUGCCGUAGCUAACGCAUUAAGCACUCCGCCUGGGGAGUACGACCGCAAGGUUG